Oncorhynchus gorbuscha (pink salmon) is the source of this 607-nucleotide long non-coding RNA. RefSeq lists it as uncharacterized. The record is from RefSeq and is a predicted model, not a curated record. The transcript has 3 exons. NCBI's taxonomy places the organism in Eukaryota, Metazoa, Chordata, Actinopteri, Salmoniformes, Salmonidae.
CAAGGCUUGAAGUGUAAACUGGAGAAAAGGAGGGAUCAGUAAAGAGGGGAUGGUCACUGAAUGGUGUCUGUUGGGGUGGCUAUUGUGUGUGAAGACUAGUCCUGCUGUUGCUGACAACGACGACCUUGACAUUAGCUUCAGUAGUACAGAGCCUGUAGACCGAUUGGAUGAAAGCUUUCAGCCGGGAAUAAGCUCAAACUCAACAUCAUCUGACUUUGAAACAAGCCAGGACAGCCAAAUGGAUUUAUGAAAGCACACUACCCUCUUGAGAAAACAAAAUCAUGAAUAAACUACUGUGUGCAAGACAAAAAUAUAUAAAUGAGACUUGCAGUACUGUACAUACAUACAAAUCUUCUGCAAGAGGUCUAAGUAGUGGGUGAAGAGCAUUGCCACAGCGCCAAAGACUGCUAAACCAGGUGCCAUUACCCAACACAAGAAGAGGUUCACCAGCUGAAGAACAUUCUGGAACCUGCCUGGAACAUUCAACCAAUACUAGACUGAUGUUGUAGUAUAGUAUAGAGUGCCUAGUAUGCUCAUAACUGCAUUGUGGUAUAGAUAUCGCUAGCUGUUGUACAUACAGGGGUAUGUAUAUAAUGCUGUUUUAUAU